GGGCGGCGCUGGGGCGGGGGCGGCCUCUCGGUCACCUGCGGCCGGGGCGGCUCCGCUCCCCUCCGCCGGCCCCGCCGGGGCGGCCGCGGCGUCACCGGGAACGGUCGGGAAGAGCCGGAGAAACAAAGAACAUGGCGAGGGGAGGAGGAGCUUACGCCGCCUUAACCGCUGGGAAGGGCGCUCCGGGGGCGUACAAUGCCCGCCGCGGGGCGGGUUCGCUUCCCUCCGCCCCCUUUCCCCGCCCUUGUGGCCCGGCUGGCGGGGGGCUGGGGCGGAACGGGAUGGGACGGGCUGAACUAGACUGGAUAGGAGGUGGCCGUCGGGAGCGGGUCCGCUGUCUGCCGCAAGUUUCGCCCAGAGUGGGAAAGUUGGGCGGGAUCCGUCCAGAUUCCUGGAAAUCUGAGGAGCAGACUUUGGCGGGCGAAGAAUGUAAUUCUUCCCGGAGGUGUGGGUACCUCUUAUGAAGGGGACUGAAGUAGGAUCAGCUGAUAUCCAAGAAGCUCAACUUCAGGACAUGCAAGAGUACUUUGGAGUGAACUGGCAGUAAGCCUUGCAGUACCGUGGUGGCAAUAAUACUGGCUGUCCUCUGGAGAUGCUGAAGCUUUGAACUUCUUUAUUAGACCCUCCAACUUGUUCACAAAGGACUUAAAACGGAUUUGGAUUCGUAUGGUCCUGGGUAUGGAUUUUUUCCUCCCAUUUCCUGACAUCUGCGUGUUUCCAGCAGUCAGUGAUGAAGUCAGUGCUAGGUCUGCUGACAUUUGGUCUGUUCUGGGGAGCUCUGAGUGCCAGGUACUGUAAACAUCCUACACUCUCAGCUGUGGAAACUAAGAAAGCUGGGAGAAGGCUGUUUACUCUCCCUGCCUUGGAAAUCAUCUGGAGGGCAAGGAUGGAAUAUUCUGUUGAUUGUAUUUCUGACAGCCUGUAUUUCAUACUUUACAUUAUGGUGUCAGUAAACAAAUUCUGUCAUUACAUCACAUCAUCAAUGUCUUGUGUUCAGACCAAGGUCAGAAGGGCAUUGUCAUAUUCUUCAGUUGUACUGCUGGCUUGAGGGAAGCUUAAAUAGUGCAAUAAUACACUGCAGUACUUCCAUCCUUAAGCAGUGAUUAAAAAAGACCUGUCACACUGUUUGUUUGAAGGUAGUGAUACAUAAAAGUUGCAGUGUGGACAUUCUCAAACUGAUACAUCAGUAUUGUAUUUAAUCAAAAUCACCCUUAAAUGGUUGGGGCUUUUUUCUAAGAUCUACUCAAUUCUUGUUUUCUACCCAAAAGAGCUAGAAACAGAGGUUUGAAAGCAAAAAGAUUGUAGGGGAAUUAAAAUUUCAGUUUCUUUUCGAAGAAAAUCAGAGGUGUUAACAUGAACUCCAGCUCUAAAUUAAAUUAGAAUACAAAGGUCUUAUACCUCAUGUUUUCCACUUGAUGUUCCCUACCACUUGCUCCUCAGACUGUAUCAUACUUUGUGCUUUGUCCUGACAAUCUUUCUCUUCUUCCUUUGUGUUUCUUUCAUUCUGUAUGCUGUAAGCCAAGUCUAACUUACCAGUUUAAAUGUAGAAUAAGCUGAAAAAGUAAUUUUCCUUUUAAAUCUAAUAUCCUGCUGGCAUGAUCCUAAACUCCUAAAGUGAGUUUUGGAGCUUUUCUUAAGCAGGGACUCUGACAGAAAGAAUAUUCUUUCCCUCUUUUCUUUUUCCUUGUUUUAUGGGGAAGGGACACCUUUUGUGUGCUCAAAGAUCACUGUCUAGUUUCUUUUGCAAUAGCAUUUUUAUGUGUUCAGAUCCUUCUGCUUCAGCUUUUUAGGAAAGACAUUCAAAUAUAAAAUCUUUGAAAUAGUUUUCAGGGUUUGGAAAUGGAUGGGAGUGGGAAGACAACAGGUAAAAGAAUGUGUAAGGAUUUGAAGUAGUACUUACUAGUGGACAAAAAAGAAUUUAAACUUUUAUGCAGAACUUUAAAAAGUCAGUUCUUUGAAGUAAUAAUUGUUUUUCAGGCUCUGGCUUGCUUUCCUAUUGGAGGAACCAGUAAGAGGGAAAGCCAGGGUCAAAGUGCUGUAGUGAAGGACUAAGUUGAUGAGUAAAAAGAAGGCUUAUGAUUAAUGUAGUAAUUUCCAAGAAAAGCAGAGUUAACCCCAGAAAAUGAUUGUUUUAAGGAGAUGUAGCUGUUCAGACUAGUCAGACGAUAGGGGGUAGCAUUUCCUAAUGCACAUGGUUCCCUUGGCAGAGAGAGAUUGCUGGGUGUGAUGGAGCACGGUUACUUCCUCCACUGCAUGGCAAUACUGAUUGUAGAUUAUGCUGUCCAGGAAAGACAACCUCCUGAAGGAGAUAAAUUCCUUAAUUUCUGAGAUGUGGGUUUGUAUAUUAUUUUUAUUUAGACAUGUUUUGGGUUUGGAGUCAUUAUUUUGUGUCAAUUGAAAAUACUUCUCUAUAUUUAAUAUUACUUACUUGUACAUUUAAUAAUGAAACUCCUGUUUAAAUGAAACUCCAGUAUAAGACUCCAGUACUCCCAGCUUUGUCAUACAUUUUUCCUGGCUCUGUACUGACAUGAUAUGUUUAAACUGCAAACUAAUUCAGUGACUUGACCCCACUGAAAACUAAGUAAGCAAAACAGCUUUUAUGUGGAUCAGCUGCUUACUCUACCACUGAAAGUCCUAGUUCCUUUAAAUGUGGCCACUUUCCUGAAGAAAAUCACAGCAUUUGUUUUGAAUAGAUUAUGUAGUCCUAAAACAAUAAAAUAGUGAAAUUACAGGAUUUUGAAUAUUCU
Molecule: long non-coding RNA, 2747 nt
Organism: Junco hyemalis (dark-eyed junco)
Lineage: Eukaryota; Metazoa; Chordata; Aves; Passeriformes; Passerellidae
Source: Ensembl